GAUGAACGCUGGCGGCGUGCCUAAUACAUGCAAGUCGAGCGAACGGACGAGAAGCUUGUUUUUCUGAUGUUAGCGGCGGACGGGCGAGUAACACGUGGAUAACCUACUUAUAAGACUGGGAUAACUUCGGGAAACCGGAGAUAAUACCGGAUAAUAUUUUGAACCGCAUGGUUCAAAAGUGAAAGACGGUCUUGCCGUCACUUAUAGAUGGAUCCGCGCUGCAUUAGCUAGUUGGUAAGGUAACGGCUUACCAAGGCAACGAUGCAUAGCCGACCUGAGAGGGUGAUCGGCCACACUGGAACUGAGACACGGUCCGGACUCCUACGGGAGGCAGCAGUAGGGAAUCUUCCGCAAUGGGCGAAAGCCUGACGGAGCAACGCCGCGUGAGUGAUGAAGGUCUUCGGAUCGUAAAACUCUGUUAUUAGGGAAGAACAUAUGUGUAAGUAACUGUGCACAUCUUGACGGUACCUAAUCAGAAAGCCACGGCUAACUACGUG
This 497-nucleotide ribosomal RNA is filed under the name uncultured bacterium. RNAcentral describes it as "partial 16S ribosomal RNA". It matches the Rfam family "Bacterial small subunit ribosomal RNA", at positions 28 to 507 of the family's 1533-position model. The record is from RNAcentral.